This is a long non-coding RNA of Daphnia carinata, 447 nucleotides long. RefSeq lists it as uncharacterized. NCBI's taxonomy places the organism in Eukaryota, Metazoa, Arthropoda, Branchiopoda, Diplostraca, Daphniidae. The record is from RefSeq and is a predicted model, not a curated record. The transcript has 3 exons.
AACGCGUGUAGUCUGCUGUCUACCUUUACUCGCUAGAUUUUACUUCUUGACCUCUCUAUAUAAUCUUAUUUGUUUCAUUCUGUUCUACAUUUUUUCUGUCCAGGGUCACAAGUGUGAAGGACAUUUUGCAAGAGUGUCCACAAGCUGGUGGGGGCGGCGGUAGUGGUCCGUUGACGUCACAAAUAUGGGGAAGGGGGACAUUUCUCGAAGGAUUGUCCACAAGAGGGUCGCGGCGGUGGUGGAAGUCGUACCUGCCAUGAGAUAAACAAAAAACAAAAAAAAAACAUCAUUUUUAGUGCUCAUUUUUAACGAAGAAGAGGGCAAUAUAGCAAGGGAUUUUCCUCAAGGAGGAAGCGUUGGUGGCAACAAUUGUUACGAUGUAAACAUCAAUUAUAUCUUUACAAAAAUAUUUCAUGUUCCAGUGUUCAUUGUUUUACUCCUAGUGUA